UACGAAGGGGGCUAGCGUUGUUCGGAAUUACUGGGCGUAAAGCGCACGUAGGCGGAUAUUAAGUCAGGGGUGAAAUCCCAGAGCUCAACUCUGGAACUGCCUUUGAUACUGGGUAUCUUGAGUAUGGAAGAGGUAAGUGGAAUUGCGAGUGUAGAGGUGAAAUUCGUAGAUAUUCGCAGGAACACCAGUGGCGAAGGCGGCUUAA
This 205-nucleotide ribosomal RNA is filed under the name uncultured bacterium. RNAcentral's name for it is "partial 16S ribosomal RNA". It matches the Rfam family "Bacterial small subunit ribosomal RNA", at positions 524 to 729 of the family's 1533-position model. The record is from RNAcentral.